This 458-nucleotide ribosomal RNA is filed under the name uncultured bacterium. RNAcentral describes it as "bacterial SSU rRNA". It matches the Rfam family "Bacterial small subunit ribosomal RNA", at positions 340 to 789 of the family's 1533-position model. The record is from RNAcentral.
UACGGAAGGCAGCAGUGGGGAAUAUUGCACAAUGGGCGAAAGCCUGAUGCAGCUAUGCCGCGUGUAUGAAGAAGGCCUUAGGGUUGUAAAGUACUUUCAUCGGGGAGGAAAAAACAAAACUAAUAAUUUUAUUUCUUGACGUUACCCGAAAAAGAAGCACCGGCUAACUCCGUGCCAGCAGCCGCGGUAAUACGGAGGGUGCUAGCGUUAAUCAGAAUUACUGGGCGUAAAGAGCACGUAGGUGGUUUUUUUAAAGUCAGAUGUGAAAUCCCUGGGCUUAACCUGGAACUGCAUUUUGAAACUGAAAUACUAGAGUAUCGUAGAGGGAGGUAGAAUUCUAGGUGUAGCGGUGAAAUGCGUAGAUAUCUGGAGGAAUACCUGUGGCGAAAGCGGCCUCCUAAACGAAUACUGACACUGAGGUGCGAAAGCUGGGGAGCAAACAGGGAUUAGAUACCCGU